Cinara cedri is the source of this 14605-nucleotide non-coding RNA. The record is from the annotation of a GenBank genome assembly. NCBI's taxonomy places the organism in Eukaryota, Metazoa, Arthropoda, Insecta, Hemiptera, Aphididae.
ACGGUCGGUUUCCGGGCGAUCGGGAUUCUCGAUACACGUUUCGAUUGGGCGAUUUGUGUUCCGUAAAAUGACGACGCCGUAACGCGGGCGAAAGGCCGUCGCGACACGGCGGCUCGCGUAAUCCGAAAACGUCGGUUCGCGGUGCUCGCGUCGAAUCGCAUGUACGUAUAGAAUUACUGUCAAUUACCGUUAUUAUCGUUAUUAUUAUUAUCAUCAUUAUUAUCAUUAUCUUUAUUAUUGUUGUUGUUGUUGUUGUUGUACGGAACGGUCGUCCGCGUGUCGCGGCGGCGCGCGCGCCCGUUUCCCCGGGCCGCGGAUUAUGACGAGAGCCCCGGGCCGCGGACGGAGGCGAUCGUUAAACGCGUUUCGAUUUCACGACCGCGUCUCCGUGCCGUUCCGUGUGUAUACGUGCGAACGCAAUACGCCGAGAACGAGACGUCGACUGACGGCGACGACGUCGGCCGGUCCGUUACGAUAACGAUGAUAUUAUUAUUAUUAUUAUUAUUACAGUUAUUAUUGUUAAUGUUAUUACUGUUAUUAUUGUUAAUGUUACUGUUAUUAUUGUUAAUGUUAUGCGGACGCAGAUCGAAAACGCGCGUUCGCCGGACCGGACGGACGACGGACGUCCCGCGUCUACCGGGGGGGGAGGGGGGGGAGUAUACCCGAAAACGCGAGACGAGAAGCCGCGGACGUCUUAAACCCCCUCGGGGUCACGGUGUUGUUACCGUCGCCGUCGUUCUAUUGCCCCGUAAUUAUCGCGUACCGAUAACGCGUAUUGCGUUGCCGUUAUCGCCAUCGCGACUGCUCCGUAUAGGUGCCGUUACAAAGCGACGAGAACGCGCGACUUUGUCACUUUCGAAUCCGGCGACAUUUUCCGAAUCGGUGUAACUUGGCCAGUUUUACCGUCGUCACGAUCCCCGCAUAUAUUAGGGGUUAGGUGGUGUCUAAUAGACAGAUAGGGAGACUAAUUGCUGGCAAUACCGAAAAUUGAUGAUUCCCUUGUUAUUCAUGGUGUCGGAUUUAGGCGCCCGAGUACUGUUAUACGAAUAAUCUAACCCAAAAGCCGAGCAAAACAUUUGUGCCCGUGUACGAUGUGUUGACGACGUGCAACGACUCAGAUAGAAAUUAGACGCGAAACGAGAUUUAAAUGGAUUAUUCAGUUGAUAAUACAUGGAAUGGUUUCCAGGAUAACGAUCGAGAUUUUUGUUAUUUUUCCAUAACAGAAAUGUAUACGUAAUACCGUAACUCGUGAAUACCAACCGCUAUCUGGGGCGAUUGACAAAACGAUACGUACGAUUUAUGAGAUUAUAGCAUUAUGAGUUGGCGGUCACUCGGUUUUUCGGCGGUAAAAAAAAUUUGAUCCGGGCCCCCGAAACGUACGGUCCGACCGUGAAUAACAACAGACCGUCAAUACCGUACGAGUUCUCCGAUAUCUGCGUUCCGUGACGGAAAAACCGCAGUUACCGGAUUCCGACUCUCCUCGUGACGGGUUAAAACAUAUGAAUUCCGUCGCCCGGCAGCGGGCCAUCCGAAUUCCGUCCCGUUGGUAUUUAACUAUUACAAUAUCGUUUUUUUUUUUUUUUUUUAUUCUCACGUUCGGGCCGGCAGUUUUGCCGGGGUACGUUUAAUCGUGUUUUUAUUCGCUUAUUAUCCGGUACGUAAAACAAAUACUAUAAUAUAUAUGUACGUGCAUGCGCAUUCGUUUCACGUUUAUUCCCUUAACUUGUGUAAUUACAAAGUGCGACUUUUCCGUUAGAUUUUCCUUGGCAUUUGUUUCGCUCGCAUCUUUUAUGAGACAUUAAUAAUUAUAAGGCGAGUUUUCCGCUCGUUUUCCCGAUUGUUCUACCGUUUCCAAUUAGUCACAAAAUGCACAUUACACGGUCCGUAUGAACGCAUGCGCGUAUGAAAAUCACGCGCACGACGAGUUUAGGUGCGACGCGCUCUGAAACUACUCGACCGUUUUUCAUAAGACAAUGCUCAAUGUGUGUGUGUGUGUGAUUCGGUCCAACUUAAAAAAUAGGAUAGCUUUCGACGUGAAUCGCGUGAAUUAUAUCGGGAAUUUUCGGGUAUUUAUAAUACGAAUAUCCAAUUGUUUUGUGCGAGUGUAUUUUUUUUUUUUUUACUUUUAAUUAUUCGUCGGUUACCCCGGUGAUGCAGACGAUAAUUUCGGUUGUCGCGAACAAAAAGCCCACUAUCGUCGUUAUUUACACUGUUAUCUAGCAACGGCAAAGCAUUUUCAGGUCAGCCAGUGUGCACGCAUAAAUAAACAGUUAUUUAUUUUCACGUUCUCGCUCUAACAAUAAGCAUGUAAAAAAAAAAAAAAAAACACUUUUAAACAUACGUACCGUCACAGGUGCCGGUUCCAAGCCCGGGAAUAGCACGAAUGGUACUUAUUGUUACCAUACGGUAGGAGGUGAACGGGACGGAAUUCGGAUUACCGUUGUGGCGCCGCGGGGGAAAUACGGGACGGCGUUCGGGUGCAGUCGGUAAUGCCGCUGCGUGUUUCGCGUGCCGUCCGCAAAUAUUCGUUUCGAUUGUUAUGCGCGUCCCCCGAUACGUCACUGGCCGUUUAUCCGCGUAGGUAUCGAGACGACCGAACGCGAGGGCUCGUGAAAAUCCGGACAGACUUCGCCGCGGGCGGGCGGGCCACCGCAGGCGCGAAGUCGGACGUGUGCCGAGGGUGUGAAUCAAUCCGUAGUCGCACGAAAUGUUUCGAUGGUAUUUACGAGGCGCCAACGGAACGCGGAGGGUACCGGUGACGUGUUUAAAAAGGAAAAAAAAACCGUUUUGCGUGCGCGGCGGCUGUACUGCAGUAAUUGUUUUCUAUUCGAUUCCGUAUAGCAGAGAAAUCGCCGUCGCGCGCCUCGGUCCGGUAUCGCACUGGAAUAGUUUUCAAACGACAACGCCAUUAAAAAGAUCACGAGCAAAUAACGAGUACGAGCGGCCACGGCGGCCGUUAACAUGCACACGUCGUUUUACCGCCGGGUGUCUAGAACCCGUUUUCGCCGUUGGAAUACAACAACGGCGAUGAUAAUAUGAUAAUGUGUUAUGAUAUCAAACACGAACGACUUUAAACGCGAUUCUCUCGAAACCGGUAAAAAUGUCACUUACUACCGUUGCGUUCUAUACGGGCGCCUCAAUUACGCAUCGAAAAACGAUUGUUAAUAUUGGCGGCAACAGCUCGGUAAUCCGAAAAAACUAUUGACGGUAUUAUCAGACGUGUUUUUCCCCCCGUGUAGUCGUGUACCCGCGACCCGGACAACGGCGAAUAAUAAAACCCGCGUAUUAUAUCGUGAUUUCGUCGGUCAUAGGUUUUUCUCAAAGUAUAUUCGUUGACGGUAAAAACCGUCGAGACUCUAGAAAACAAAGUGGAAACACUGCCGGGUGGCAGGGAAAUCCGGAUCUUCAAUCAGACACGGCGCGUGUGAAAAACCGUUGCUGAUUUAACGCGGAAAAAAACCAACGAAUUCUCGCUGGAACCGAAGGCGCGACGCGUUCACCGGGCGCGGCGGUUCUUCGUCUCGGAUUUAAACCGACCGAAGUCCGUAAAACUCCCGGGUCAAAUUCACCGCUAGUGGAUUUAAUCGUACGAAUUAUCAGAACGAGCCGUGCAGCCGUACAGUAUGCGUGUAUAUUGUUUGAAAACAAUUCCGGUAUAUUAUUUAUUUUUUGGUUUUUUAUUCGACCGUGGUCGCUGCCGUCAACGCGAAUCUAAUGUGCCUAUAAACUGUGCCUCGUUUUACACCGCGAUUACCGUUCGAGUCACUAAACCGUUUUGCGUUCCGGGCGAUCCAUUACGCAGACGAGGACCGGUCAAAAUACGAGAAAUCGUGCGAAACAAUCGAAACGGCGUACUAAAAAAAAAAAAAAAAAAAACACACACACACAUUUGUAUAUGCAGGUAUAUAUUAUAAAAUCCGACGGACCGAUCGGGUGUUUGCACUCGCGGUUCAUUUCGGCGCGGCGUAUUUUUUUAACGAUACAAUCGUAAUCAUAUUCAUACUCGGAACAAAACGAUUUUUUUUUUUUUUUUUUAUAUUUAUAUUUAUAUUUAUUAUAUUCGACAAUUACGCGCGAGCCCGGCGUUCGGUUCGCGCGCUCGGGACGUAGUACGACGACACAAAAUACGACCGCCCGCGCAAAAUAUCGUUUUCGUUCCGAUACCUUCAAAAUAGGUUUACCCGUCGCCCAUAUCCGCACACGCCCGCGAAAGAUGCGUACGCGACACAUUAUUAUUAUGUUUCGCGAGUAACCAUAGUUGUUCACUAUCCCCGAAAAGCGCUGGCCCGAAAAAAAUAGAAAUUAUUUUUACGUAUAUACAAAAAAAAAUAAAGAACCGCGCAGUUAUUGGUGUCGUGCGAAUUGGGCAUCACACUCGAAACACCUGUACGGUAUUCCCACGGAGUUCGACGAACGGCGAUCGCGUCCGAUUUGUUAUUUUUACUACGCGUUUUCGGGAUUAUUAUUUUAUUUAUUUUUUUUUUAUUUUUACAAAAUUGUAGAACGUACUGUAACAACAACGGAUCGAAUCCAAUUACACGAUCAAAAGUGAACGUAAUACCGGGAAAUGAUGAAAUUAUCAAAACAAAAUACAAACAAAUGUUAAGACCGACAAAAUGUUCAAAUCUGAUUGUUAAACGUUUAUAAUACGGUAUCGGAAAUAUUGGCAAUUUAGUAAUUUCGCACUAUAUCUAGGCAUUAUACAUACCGACUGGUUUCGGGCAAUAUUGAGAAAACGCGUAAUGUAGACAAUUAUUUCAAAUAGAACCUAGGCAUUUUACGUGAUUCCUGGGCAUUUUAUGAAACGCCGAAUUUAUUCUGGAUAAAGGAAAAACCAUGUCUGUAGUUUCACUUAUAAACGUUUCGACUUUUCUCCCGUUACUUACCCGACGUGAUUUUGCACAACAAAUCGAGGGUUGAUUCCAGGUUAAAAUAAGUAAUGUCUAAGAUGCCUUAAAAAAAAUGCUCUAAAAAUUAUUUUAAACAAUGAAAAAAAAAAACAUUUUUUUAUUUUUUUUUUUAGGUAUAUAAAUUUACUUCACACAACGCUCAAUAGUGCAAAUAGUGCAAUACGAUUGCCUUUGUCCGAUUGUCGGAUUCUUUUUUUCGUUUAGGAAGAAAUCAAUAUAAAUUUUAUCAAAUUUUCUGAUAAAAUUAGGAAGUUUUUAAAAAGAAGAAAAAAUAUUUUGAAAAUCUAAAAACGCACAUAAAAUGACAAAAAAUGCAAAAUAAAAGUUUUUAUAUUUUAAUUCUUUGACAUGUGGAAAGAUUUAUGUGCCUGGAAAACAAUUGCAGUUUUAGAAAAUUCAGAAAAAAAAAAAAUGCAAUUUGCAUUAUAAUCCGCACCCUAAUGAUAAGUUAUUUUAAUCUGGAAUCACCAUUCCGUGUAUUAUUUUAUGUUUUUAUAUUGAUAAUACAUAGGUAAGAUACACAAUUCCGUAUCUUUUUUAUUGCCUAAUUUACUGUGGGCGUUGUUCACAACACUUCGCCAUUAUAAUAAUUGUGUAUAUUUCCUGGUGUUUUUUUGCAUUGUUCUUAACUUGGCAUCAUGAAUAUAAUACCGGAUUAUCAACAUUGCCAGGAACGUAUACAAAUUUAGAAUUCUAAUAAAAUUGUUUUUCUUUUAGAUUCUGAGUUAAGCGAAACAUUUUUUAGUUUUACAAAAAUAUUUAUUUUAUUAUUUUUUAUGUGAACAAUUUUUCUACCGGUAAGCUUACUCUGGUAUUGGAGUGUAGUAAUUUUUCUGUAAGGAAAUGUGCUACGGACGGUAUUUUAAAGAGAUUAUUUUUUGAAAUUCUCAUUAAUAUUCGUGAUAAUGCGAAAAACUUGGUUCUUUAGGUUAAAAAAAGAACAAAUGAUUAAAAAUCAGGUUGUCAUCGGAAACUGUUUUUAUUUAUUUUUUGUUGUGAGUUUUUAUUAUUUUAAUCUUUUUCAAACAAUCAUUGUUGUCACGGAAACGCACAUUGUCGUAAUCAUUUUACCCUAAUAUGAAAUAUAUUUAUUGUUGACAAGGCAACACUAUCAACUGAACAUUCCUCGUGUUUAUCGUUACUUACGGAUAUACACGAAAUUCCCGUCUGUAUCCUAACUUCCCAGCUUCCCACCUAUAACAGUGGCAGCACCAACGUGCGAUGGAUGCCCGUCCUUUUUUCCCCUUUAAAUCACCCGAACUCUGUUGAUUUUUUAACCGUGUUUUUAUUUCGCCUAAAAAUAAAUUUAUCGGGAACUGUAAAUAAAAGAUUUGUAAUGCGAAUGAACCGGGUAUUCAAUAUUGAUAUAAUUGAAAAGUGGUUUUAUCCAUACGGUUAUUAUCUCGUUUAGAAUCACGAUACCUUAUAAAUUAUGUUAUUAAAACUUACGAAAAUUGUUUUCACAACACAUAAAUUGCGGUUAUAAUUUUUAGAUUUUCCAACAAACAAAAUUAAAUUUAUGGCGUUCGUGGUUUUUUUUUUUUUUUAAUUUUAAAACGGUUUUAAUAGAGAGCGGAGUGAAAUAUUCGUAAAAAAAACGUAAAACUUUAACAGAAAAUAUAUUUUAUUACGAUAUAAGUGUCACUAAAAUAAAAUUAAAAGACAACUCAGGAAACAGCAGCUAUAUCCAAAACCCUUAUAAGGUUACUAAAAUUUGUUCGACGAAAUGUGUAAUAUUUUCAAACUAUGACUUGAGGAUAAAGUUGGGGAAAAAAUGAAUUCUUUUAAAAUUCAAUUUAAAAUAAGGGAAAAAGUUUCUUUUAUAUUAUACUUAGAAAAAAAAAAAUGGAAAAAAACCAAACUGAUGAAAACCUUACACUAUUAUUGUAUUCGUAUGGUGUAAAAACGUCUCAGCUCAUUUGAAUAACCGGCAAUAAUAAUAAUAAAAAUUAUUGGAAACGGUUUUUUUUUUAAUUUUAUGACAAAUUGUGACAAUAUAUUUGAAGAUUACACAACUAAACAGAUGUACAAAAUAAAUGUGAUACAGUUAAUAGGUUUCCCGUUGUUUUCGAAGGGACGUUGAAACGAUAGAAUACUACAUAUUAGCGGUAUUUAAAUUCUAUAUGUAUGCAACGAUAAAUCAUUGCUAACGGAAUACUAUUCUGAGCGUGAUAUGGUUAAACGUAUUUAAAACGCCACGAGUUUUAUGAUACUAGUUUUAUGAAACUGCGUACUUAAAGUUCUUAUGAAAUAAAAUUUCCAUUAACAUAACGGUAGAAUUUUUUUUUUUUUUUACCGUGUAAAGAAUUUCGAUCUAUGCAUUUUCCAUGUACGGCAAACGUCCUAUGAAGUUUGAAACAAUUUAUUAAUUCAACUAUUCAACUUACGAUUAAUUUAUACCGCUUUUGAUCAGCCAAAACAAUUUUCUCUACAUACGACCAAAUAAAAACUAAUACAAUUCGAUAAACUCAAACGCUUAUAAAAAACAUAAAAAAUCACCCGAUUAUUUUGAAAAUUUUAGGACGUCUAGAAGAAGCUAACCUAAGUAUUCCGUGAAUAUAAAAAAAAAAAAAAAAACAAAAUUAUAUCGAAACUUUUACGAACGUAAAUCUGUCCGUUUUUUCUAUAUGUUCCUCAAUUUAAUAUUAUAAUUGCUCCUCAUGAUAUUUAAAGUGACGUGCAAAAUGUACAAACGAGAUUCGAAAGUCUACGAGAACGGAGCUUAUAUUCAUUUUUUGAUCGGAGCAAGAUUUGCGAUAGGAAAAAUCGUCGAAAUAAAAUACCACCUGUCGAAAUAUACGCACUUUUCAAGGUGUACGAUGAUCGGCGGAGUGUUUUUGAGAAGACGAAAAUCCAAAAGUAAAAUAAACGACCGAUGGGCGACCCGUUGAAAAUUGUUCGGAAGUAUUUCGAAUAAAUUAACACCGGCACCCGAAAAUUCGGCACCUUCAAUAAUCGAAUACGCCGCGAUUAAGUAACGGUCUCCCGUGUCUGUCCGACCGUCGGUAUCGGGUUUUCACUUUGACGUAGCGGUCGUACAAUAUCAUGUGCGUUUUUGUGUCACGAAUACGCGAAGACGACCGAGUCCGAAUUGAAAAAUAAAAAAAUAAUAAUAAUAAUAACGAAAAAACGUCAAUACCGCACACGAAUUCACAAAAUAAAUAAACAUCCGUGAUCUGUUAACAAUCUAUUCGCGAUUUCCGACAGUGUAGCGGUUUCGACGCGAGAUCCGAUCAAUUAUCGACAUCCGUUUUUGUCGAAACGCGCGGUUUCUCGCCGGGGACGCCACGAAAUAUAGGCGUGUACAUUUGCCCGGAAACGUAAAAUAAUACGUUAUUAUAAUGCGAUCCCGGCGAACUCGUAUGCGCACACGUGGGUACUUUCGUUUUUUUCGCGGAUGAAAAUAAUCGAUUCCGCGAGGGAUUCUCGAUUCGGUUUAAAAGCGUUCGUGCGGGACCAUAAUAUUAUACCGUGUGCGAAAAACGUUACGGACGGAACGGUUGUUUUUUUUUUUUUUUCCUUUUCUCUUAACGCCCGCCCGUUUCUUCUCUCGGGUACGCCUAGUUUUGCGAUUUUUUUUUUUUUUAUCAGAUACAUAAACAGUUGUGUACUCGUAAUCGGUUGAUAAUUACCGUUGGUCAAUGAUUUUUUUGUGGUCUGAACGUAAUUAUUCCCGUGCGCGCUGUCGGCGUUUUCGUUUACGACGGCUCCCUAGGAGCACUUCAACGUCGAUUUCGACCGAUCCGACCUGUACGCGCAGCUAUUCGUGCAGGCGUAACAACAAUACCGUCGAAUUUGACUGACCUUACGCACAUUACGUGAAAAUCUUGUUGUCCACCUUAAUUGGCCGCUCGCGUUUGAAACAUUUGUUUUUUUUCUGGAGACCAUAAUUUUCCGGAAUGUAAUCAUCCGGGUUGAUGAACACCCGGAAUUUUAAAAUCCAGAACGUAAUAUUCGGGUCAGCAACUUUCCGGGCGAUAAUAAUCGAAUUCCAGAAAUAUAUUGUAGAAUUCCGGAAUUAUGAUAAAACCAAUGGUUUCUAAAAAUUUCGGAUCCAGAACGUCGUUUCUUAUUUUAAACACUUUUUCUCUCACCGAAUUUCACGACCCAUUUUCCGCAUAAAUAGAAAACCCACACCCUCCUCGAUUAUUUGGUCAGUUCGCGAGUUUUCAAUCGUACCUCAUUUUAUACGCAUAGAAUUAAUUAAGAAACCGUUGAUAUUUUUCUGGAAUAUUACGUUCCGGAGAUUAAUUUCCGGAUUUAAGUAGUUUUUUCGUAUUUUCUAUAGCAUUCGGUCCACCCUAAUGCGUACACUAUAAUACAUUAGAGUAUUUUUACAUUUUUUUCGAUUACGAUAACAUAUUUCGUUCAGAGUUUUCAACACAAUUUGCGCGCCUUGUUUCCAUAUUUAUAUUUCGCCGCCAUUUUAUUAGGAAUUUUCGUACCGCGGUUCUUUUUUUUUUUUCACAUAAAAACCGCGAUGAAAACACGCCUUGCAUAGCGUGUAUCUCGGUUUCGUUUGUCUUUACAUUAUUAAGCGAAAUUUUAAUUAAUGUUUAACGCAAUAAUCAAUAGGCAAUAAAAAGAAAGCGUUUGCGUGUCAGUGUGUUAUCACACGUGGGAGUUUCAGACGGGAUUUUCGGUAUUAUGGUACGAAAAUGUAUUGAAUUUUCGGGAAGGGAUGGGUGAUGGGCGGUUUACCUUGAUGGCGAGGGCGGAAUAAUAAUAAAUGGUGACAGGGGAUAAAUUGAAUUAUUCAUUUCAACUUUUGAAAGAAUUUUUAUGAAAAAAUCUGCUUGAAAUGUUCAAAAAAUAAAAAUUUAGAGGAAUUGAAUUGGCACGGGAAACGACGCACAGAAAGGUUUUCGACGCAGUUAUACGGUUUAUAUUACAUUUAAAAGUUUAAGCCUGCGCGUCCUAUACCUAUUCCGUUUGGUUAAACUCAAUUAAAACAAACGAAAAUUAACAGCGCUUUCGAACACAUCCUCGCCGUUAAUUAUUUAUAAACAUUCAGCUUUCGAUACUUUGGGCCACGUUGUUUUACUUAAACUAAUUUAUGUACCGCACAACUUUCCAGCGUAGUUUUUUGUAUGCGAUCGGUACUUAUACCUAUACCUAUACCCUACCCGGCCAUUAUUUUGUUGUUAAUUCGACUUGUAUUACUUACUAACCGCCCUAACAAGAAUACAGUUACUUACACUCCGAACAAACGAUUCCGUUGAAAGUAUAACCGCAGUCUAAAGUUUCAGCGUCUCAUCAACUCGAGUGUUUUUAUCAUCGCUGCAGUUCUCGGCGCCGUAGAAACCAUUUAUUACAACGUGCCCGGAUUUAAAAUGCACUAAAAUACCCGUCAAAAAAUAGCCAAAAAAUACCAUAAAAAAAUAAUAAAAUAAAAUAACGCUUUUUACCGCAAAAAUGCCUUUAAAAAAUGAACUAAUACAUUUUUUUUAUUUAUCGUUUUUAUUAGGAAGUUUAAAAUGUUUAUUUUAUUGCGAAAAAAAAAAUAUACCCCGAAUAUCUUAAAAACAGUAUAACUUUUAGGGAUGCAUUUUUCAUUCAAUAUAUAUUACGUUAAAUUAUACGUUUAUCUAUUUUACCUUUAAAAUUUUCCUGCUGGCCGAAACAUCAAGAACACUUUUUAACUUUCGAUAACGUUUAGCUAAUGUAAAUUGUCUGAAUAACCGACUCGUAUGAUAAUAUAUACAAGAGAACGCGCAUCAAAUGAAAAGCACCGGCAAACGCUAAACAAAUGCUUUUUGCGUUUAAAGUGUCGGAUGCGCCGUACGAAUACUAUGUACCCGGUAGUCGGAGUUAUCUAUGAAGGUUACCUCGAGUGAAAAAAAGAAAAACGAUUCAUUUUGCAUUGAAAUCCGGCGGGGAGACUGGAUCAUCGGCGUUGUAACCAUUACGACGCCGGUAUUUUUUUAACCGCCGUUUUCGCGAUAAUACGGCGCGCUUUAAAAACGAAUCAAUUUCCCUCCCCCUUCAAAAAAAAAAAAAAAAACCGAGGUUAAAAACUCCGUAAUAAAUCCGGGUAAACGAUGUUGGAACAAUGAACGUACGAGGCCGCGCCGGCCGCUAUCUCCCGUGUCCCGGGUCCCGUAUUUGCGUUGUCCGUAACCCGUAACAAUACGGACCGGACCGAACGACGUCGGGCAAAUGAUACGGUCCCGCAGGGCCGCGACCCGCGAACACGUUCGUUCGCGCACCUGCCAGUACGGAGUCGGACGCCACUGUGCGCGAGCGGGACGCGUACGGUGCCGCCGCCGCCGACGGGUUACGCGCGUGGAGGGACAGGGGGGGAGGACAUAAUUUUUCAAUCCUUCUUCCGGGGUCGAACAUUCAUAAUUCAAAAGCGGCGCGGCGGGGGUAGGUGCGAAUGGGUAGGUAGGGGGGGUUGGGGGGUUGGCCGGGGCGCGGCCGCGAGACGCACCGGGUCGCGUACGUCUCGUUUCGGAUUUAUUAUAUGCGCGGCCCGGCGUACGCGGGCGCCCGGCGCGCGUUGUUACGGGCGAACGUAUUGCCGGACCGGGGGAAACGCAUUUGUUACGCGGCCGCGGUUCCGCGAAGAGUACGUAUAUAUAUAUGUAUAUAUAUGUAUAUAUGUAUAUAUGUAUAUGUAUAUAUAUAUAUACGUAUAUACUUAUAUACGUGUAACGUGACGCGCACGCGCGCGCUACGACAAUAAUAAUGUAUAAGGCGCGCGUAAUAUAUGCGCCGCGGAACGGAAUUAACGGGCUGCCGUCCGGGCGCCACCGAGAACGGGAUAACUAUUGAAAAUUAUUAGUCGCGGCGUACGGCGCGCGCGAUGGGCGAUGGGGGAAGGGGCGAAGCGGCGGCGGCGGCCGGCCGGCCGUAAUAUCCGCCGCGGUCCGCGGGCCGCCUGCGAAACGCGAGCGUUCGGGCGCGUUUGGCGCACGUCGAAUUGUUACCGGCGCCGGGUAAUCGCGCCGACCGACGACCGCGGGGUUUCGCCCCCCCCCCCCCCCCCCCCCCCCCCCCCCCGGCCGCCCCACCACCCCCCUACCCCUCCGUCCCGCCGCGCGCGCGCGAUCCGAGCGACGUUCCGUCGGUGCGCGCGGCACGCGGUUGCCGGUUACCGUUACCGUUCCCGUUACCGCGCGAUCCGAGCGACGUCCCGUCGGUUUUCGUCGGCCGGACGUCAACCGCGGCCGGCGCGGCUAUCGGCCGGCGUUCGGACCCCCGGCCCGAUCGCAUUCUUUUUUCCCGCCUUUUUUUUUAUUUCUUAGCGGGCCGCGUAUGCCGUCGGCGAACCAGUCGGACGAAACGCUUCUGAAGCUCGCCCGGAGACCGAAUAGGUUGUCAAUGAUCAUUUGACGCGGUCGGCGGCUGUGGACCACGGUUACAAUAACGACAAAAACGCGUUGCGAACUAACGGUAUAAAGUACUGCGAGAUUUCGAGUCGUCACAAUACCCGUAACAACGUAACCGUUGUCCGCGCACACCCGGCUCGCAUUUGAAGUCGGAUUUUUGUGAUGGAAACGUAACGAACGAUUAAAUUUUUUUUGUUAAAAGCCCGUGUUUUUAUUACUGAAAACCGUAAACCGACUAUUAAUAUACAUAUUUUCAUACCGACCGCAUUACACCGUCGAAUCCCGUUUUGGGAAAACUUCGGCAACAUCGAUUGAUAACACUAAAAAAGGUUAAAUGAACAUUACGUUCGUUUACCUAUCGUUUUUCUAAUGCUCGUUUUAUUUUUCUUCGCCCGCGCUUUUACCCGUUUUUCGUAUUUUGAUUUUUCCGGGAGUUUUCAAUCUCUAACCGAUAGGACACAAAUCGACGAACGGUCCGUCGCCAAAACGUACGCCGGACGGAACGACAACCGUAAACAGACCGAACAUUAUCGUCGUUCGCCAGUAGCGAAUUUUUUUUUUCCACGACGGACGACGGGUGAACGGCCCGCGGUAAUUCUAAAUCACGUGCGUUCGGUUUCCGUGAAUCUCGACCGUUUUCGCGUCGUAUACUUUCGGGGAGCGUAAGCGACGCUCAGUUCGCCCGUCGUGCAAGUCCGGCCCGGGGACCGGGGUGUUACGAAUGGCGAGUAGUUUGUCGACGCGGAUGCGAAUGCGAAUACACGCCCCGGGAGUGCUAUCACGGCCGGAAUAAUAAUAACAGAUGUCCUGUUUUAAACUGUUCUCGUCGGCCACGGUCAUCUAUGGCACGGCCGACGGUCUUCCGCCGGUCGUACCGUUCGUACCGCCGCUCCGCCGCAAUGUAUUUUACCUGUCCGCGGGGCGUUCGGUCACACGCGCGCGCGGGGAACCGAAAUCGUCCGCCGUUUACGUUGCGCGACGCCGUCGUCGUUCCGAUCGGGGUCGCGCGGUGUUAUUUUUCCACUCUAAUUUUCGACACCCGUUUUCAACACUCGAUUGAGAUUGUUUGCCCGGGGUUUCGGGUUAUUAAGCGCAUUGUAAAUUUGUCUUCGUGUAACUUUGACACCUAUUUUCAACUCCCCGGGGGGUUACGGUUCUGACAUCGGCCAAAAACGCGUUCGACUGUUCACCGGUAAAUUCCCCGCACGCACACAAACACACAGUUUUGGGUUAUUAAACUUUCAAACAUAAUGUAUUUUAACUCCUGUUAAACCUCUUAAUAGUGGACUUUCGAAAAAGGACUUUUCUUACGGCGGUCCCCUGUACAAGUCGUAUAAGAAACCGCUGUGCGAAAUUUCGAGUUUCUACACCCAGCCGUUCGUAUUGUAAACAAACUUCGACACCAUUUUUGCGCCGCUUGGGGGUUGAAUUUUGAAAAAUCCUCUCGUUACGAUUGUCUAAAUUGUAUAAGGGACCGCGUUCGCGCAAAACGUUCAAAUUUCUAGACACGGUGGUCCAGGUUGUACGCUAAAGUGUCGGUCGGUCAAUUUUUUCAUUCGCACACAAUACUAAGACGUGUCCCAACUCAUUUUGAAACGAACCCGCAACCAGUUUAUUAUAAUUACCAUUUUUACAAAUCUUAAAACGCGGUGUAUUGAUCAGCUAUUGAAAAACAGUAAUGCAUUAAAAUGUUUUAAAUUUCCGAGACAAUUUACAAUUACUGAAACCUGAAAUCAACAAAUAAUAAAAAAAUUGAUAACGGCGCCUGGUUUUUCCAUUUUCCUACAGUUAGUACUUAUGUUUGCCUUUUCCGCGUGCAUAUUAAAAAUGGUACAAAUUAUAUUUUGUUCCUGAUUUUGAAAAUGCUCGCCUCGCCACUUACAACACGGGCUCACGGUUUUGUCACCAACAAUUCUUCCUCUUCUGCUUCCGGACUUUAUUACUUUCCAAGAGUUUUCGCGCCCAUCGCCGAAUCGUCUCAACUAUCAUUAUCCUGCAGUAUACUAUUUACAGCCGAUUCCGCACUCCCGGGAGUUUUCCAAAUCUUUUUUUAUCCCUUAAAUAACAUUACAGUACCCGACGUAGUAUAAAAUGUGGACAUUUUUCAAAAAAAAAAAAUAAUACCGUAUAAUAUUUGCUCGUAGACAUUUCAAACCAUAAUAAUAUAGUUCAAAGGAAUAAUAUUCUCAAUGGUUUUUAAUAUUUUUUUUUUUUUACGUGUACAUUGCAAUUUUCGUACUUGCAAUAAAAAAAAAAAAAAUACAUUAAUAACACAUAGUGAAUGCAUUUCAUUAACAUUAUCCUACAGUCAUCGAAGCGUGUCCGUAUUUUAAAUCCAAGUUGAAUAUUAGUAAUUUAUUU